CCUACGGGAGGCAGCAGUGGGGGAUAUUGCACAAUGGGGGGAACCCUGAUGCAGCGACGCCGCGUGGGUGAAGAAGUGCUUCGGCGCGUAAAGCCCUAUCGGCAGGGAAGAAACAAGACGGUACCUGACUAAGAAGCCCCGGCUAACUACUGGCCAGCAGCCGCGGUAAUGAGUAGGGUGCGAGCGUUAUCCGGAUUCACUGGGUGUAAAGGGAGCGUAGACGGCCAUGCAGGCCCGGGGUGAAAGCCCGGGGCCUAAACCCGGGACUGCCCUUGGAACUGCAUGGCUGGAGUGCGGGAGGGGUAGGCGGAAUGCGUGGUGUAGCGGUGAAAUGCGUAGAUAUCAGGAGGAACACCGGCGGCGAAGGCGGCCUGCUGGACCGCGACUGACGUUGAGGCUCGAAAGCGUGGGGAGCGAACAGGAUUAGAUACCCUUGUAGUC
RNAcentral lists this ribosomal RNA (441 nucleotides) under uncultured bacterium. RNAcentral describes it as "partial 16S ribosomal RNA". It matches the Rfam family "Bacterial small subunit ribosomal RNA", at positions 338 to 795 of the family's 1533-position model. The record is from RNAcentral.